CACACCCUCUCUGAAAUGGUCAUUCUCCCUUCAAUCAGUAACGUUCAGGUUAAGGGGAAGUCAGAACGGCAGCUCUUCACGAGUCUUCAAAGGCAAGGUGGUAUUGUGGUAGCUCCUUUCUGAAUAUUCAUUCUUACUGUGUAAUGCUGAGGAAGAUCGUCCCGAGGGCAGACUGAACCGAUGCUCAAGGCUCAUCAUAGAAGUCACUUUGAAAAAUUGCCUGUGUCUCUGAUAGCCUCUAUCUGCAAGGCUUUUGAACCCUGUGUCUCCUGGUAUGAGAAGAGAAUUUUGAGUUAAAAGACAGCAAGAGAACUUGCCCAAUAUCACCAUCAAACUAGAGACCUAAGCAAGCUGUGGAGACGAACUCCCGCGCCCGUGAGCACGUCAUCACUUCCCACCGUCAGGGAGCUUCAGAUUUUGACUGAAGUUGGAACUAAAGUCAAAGGCGUGUGGUACCGAGUUUGAACUUGAGGCUGUGGAAUCAAGAGUCUAUUCAUUCCCGCCACUUCUCCUGCCCCGAACCUCCCACUGGCGACUUCUGCCAGGUCUCUAACUUUCUGCUUGCCAAGUAUACGUAAGGAUUGAACGUGAGGCAUCUCUCUAAGGUCAUGAGAUUUCUCCCCCUACCAAAAUACCACUUCAAAAUCCACUUCAGUUUCGUUUUUAAAAUUUUUCACCUUCAGAGCAUUUCCAGCCACAUUAGAAACUAGCUCCUUAUUUACAGUCACACAUGCAGCCCACUGGUCUUCCUCUCCUUCACCUCCGGGGACUCCAUGCUCCUUGACCCCAUCCAGCCCCUCCUCCCUUCCUCCCCUCCCUACUCCUCUUUCUCCCUCUUUUUUCCUUCCCUUCCUCUCUUCCUUCCUCCUCUCUCCCCCUCCUUGGCAGUGGCCUGGACACAAGAGACGGAGGCCUGGAGAAAUGAGUUGUGCAGGUGUUGGCAUGGAAAUGAGGUCCAUGGGGAGGACAAGACUGAGGGGCCGGCCCGAGCCUGGAGGAGUAGGGAGCACUUUACAAGGAGCAGCAUUUCUGGAAGCCAACUUAUGCAUCUAUUUUCAUAUUUUCCGAAACGUACAUGAGAGUGGCUGCCUGAGCAAGAAACCAAAUCCUUAGAGAAUUAAGAGGGAGCCUUUGGAUGACUGGUUUCCUCCGCUCCUAAUACGACGUGCAAAAAGCAACUUCCGGCCAAAAGAAAGAAGAGAAUUCUGGACAAAACACAAGCCAACAAACCAACCUAACAUGGUUUCCUGGCUUAUGCGGGGGACUUUGUCUCAGAAAGAACAUUUUACUGGCCUGAUCAUAAAUUUGCCCUCCACUGGUUGAGUCAGCCUGUUCAUUUUUGGCUUGCCCUCCCUGAAGCUAAGCAAACGAUGAGCAGCAUAGUUUUCACUUCUAAACAAACACGCGGGAAAAGAAUAACAAUUAAAGGCUUAAUAAUUGGUUGUAAAUUACAGGCAUUAAAAGCUGCCAUGGAAGUUUUCGGAGACACAGGAAAAAGUGUGGAAGCUUGAAGGCCAGCUGUUCCGUAGCUUGUGACCUUGGUCAAAAGCUGCCCCCGGGCCUCAGACACGUCCCAUCUAGAAUCAGGUGGCUCACAGGUGUAGUUGGACUUUUUCGUCUUUUUCCGGGAGAUGUUCUCUUAAGGGGGAUAACUUAUCUUCUGGUGGCCCAUGUCGAGGAUCAAUGUCAGGAAAAAACAGUGUUUGUUUCCUUGUAUUUUAAGAUUUCCUAUUUUUGGCAUCCUUCCUCCAGGAUGGCUUUAUCUCAGUGCAGAGACCAGGAAGUCAAUUGUGUCGGCUGGAGCAUCCUCUGGGCCCAGCCACGUCUUGGGCUGCAGACAGCCGCGUAGGCUCUGGCACUUAAGGACCGUCUGCUCCGGGUCAGCACAGGCUUUUCCAAAAGUCGGUCUAAGAGUCUUGGAGGGUCCACAAUAUUUCCACCUUGUUUGUAGAACAUAAUUUUUCUUCUUCAGAUGAGAGGGUUAUGCUUCAUCCUGUUCCACAUCCUUUUCAUCCAUCUCUAUUUCGGCAGCUCUGUCAGCCAGAGUGGGCGACCUCCAACCUUUGUUUCCCUGCAGGCAAACAAGAUUUUCUGUUUCGUUACUAACAAUAGAACAAAAGGCAUUGUGAAUGUCCAGGGACUUUUUGUGGCAUAUUGUAGCAGUGGGUGCAUGGGGUGACGGGGAUAACUAACAUUCUGCUUCAUUUUAUUCUCCAAAUUCAUUUGUUAAUGAAGCUUUUAAAGAAAUGUUACUCUUAUUAAAAUGACUUAGGAAAAUUACUUCAUGUCUUUGUGGCUUAUCUAUAACACAUGAAUAUUUCCCCUCAAAUUUAGCCAUGCCUUAAUUUUAAAAUUUUGUUCUUUAGAAUAUUUUGUUUUUCUUAUAUUUUUUAAAAUUUUGAGUUCUGAAAGUAAAGAACAG
RNAcentral lists this long non-coding RNA (2422 nucleotides) under Equus asinus (donkey). Its description in RNAcentral is "lncRNA (ENSEASG00005031226.1)". Lineage: Eukaryota; Metazoa; Chordata; Mammalia; Perissodactyla; Equidae. The record is from RNAcentral.